GUGCUCACUUCAGCAGCACAUAUACUAAAACUGGAAUGAUACAGAGAAGAUUAGCAUGGCCCUUGCACAAGGAUGGCAUUGAAAUUUGUGAAGCAUUCCAUAUUUUU
RNAcentral lists this small nuclear RNA (107 nucleotides) under Salvator merianae (Argentine black and white tegu). Lineage: Eukaryota; Metazoa; Chordata; Lepidosauria; Squamata; Teiidae. The record is from RNAcentral.